This 75-nucleotide transfer RNA is filed under the name Sphaerodactylus townsendi. Its description in RNAcentral is "tRNA-Ala". It matches the Rfam family "tRNA". From Rfam's summary of the family: Transfer RNA (tRNA) molecules are approximately 80 nucleotides in length. Their secondary structure includes four short double-helical elements and three loops (D, anti-codon, and T loops). Lineage: Eukaryota; Metazoa; Chordata; Lepidosauria; Squamata; Sphaerodactylidae. The record is from RNAcentral.
GGAGGGCUUGUGGCUCAGUGGAAGAGCAUCUGCUUAGCAUGGAGAAAGUCCUGGGUUCAAUCCCAGAUGUCUCCA